Manis pentadactyla (Chinese pangolin) is the source of this 556-nucleotide long non-coding RNA. RefSeq lists it as uncharacterized. Lineage: Eukaryota; Metazoa; Chordata; Mammalia; Pholidota; Manidae. The record is from RefSeq and is a predicted model, not a curated record. The transcript has 4 exons.
GGCAGGUCCGGGUGGGGUUCUACGACAUCGAGGGCACUCUGGGCAAGGACAAUUUCGCCGUGGUGAAGCUGGGGCGGCACCGGAUCACCAAGACGGAGGUGGCGAUAAAAAUAAUAGAUAAAUCUCAACUGGAUGCAGUGAACUUUGAGAAAAUCUACUGAGAAGUACAAAUAAUGAAAAUGUUAGACCACCCACACAUAAUCAAACUUUAUCAGGUAAUGGAGACCAAAAAUAUGUUGUACCUUGUCACAGAAUAUGCAAAAAAUGGAGAAAUUUUUGGGAAAAUGGAGUUCCCUCGGCCAGGCUGCUCGCCUGACCGUCACCUACUCACCCACUUGGCAUGCCCUGUGCUUUCUCCUGACUCCUCAAAAUGUGUGUGCAUUGUGACCUCAUGACUGCCUACUGAGCUUGUGCAGGCUUAUGUACUGGUUGGCAGGACGUCAUUGAUGUCUGUGCUGCUAUAUAAGGAUCUCUGCCUGGUGCUCUAUUGCAGAGUGUGGAUCAGAGACUUGCUGCAUGCAGAUACAGGAGGUGUAAUCUCAGCACUGAACUGGCC